ACCAUGGACUCUACUCUGCGGAAGGAGGG
Molecule: non-coding RNA, 29 nt
Filed under: Cricetulus griseus (Chinese hamster)
Lineage: Eukaryota; Metazoa; Chordata; Mammalia; Rodentia; Cricetidae
Source: RNAcentral